RNAcentral lists this ribosomal RNA (454 nucleotides) under uncultured bacterium. Its description in RNAcentral is "bacterial SSU rRNA". It matches the Rfam family "Bacterial small subunit ribosomal RNA", at positions 30 to 533 of the family's 1533-position model. The record is from RNAcentral.
AUUGAACGCUGGCGGCAGGCUUAACACAUGCAAGUCGAGCGCCCCGCAAGGGAGCGGCGGACGGGUGAGUAACGCGUGGGAACGUACCCUUUGCUACGGAAUAGCCUCGGGAAACUGGGAGUAAUACCGUAUGUGCCCUUCGGGGAAAGAUUUAUCGGCAAAGGAUCGGCCCGCGUUGGAUUAGGUAGUUGGUGGGGUAAUGGCCUACCAAGCCGACGAUCCAUAGCUGGUUUGAGAGGAUGAUCAGCCACACUGGGACUGAGACACGGCCCAGACUCCUACGGGAGGCAGCAGUGGGGAAUCUUAGACAAUGGGCGCAAGCCUGAUCUAGCCAUGCCGCGUGAGCGAUGAAGGCCUUAGGGUUGUAAAGCUCUUUCAGUGGGGAAGAUAAUGACUGUACCCACAGAAGAAGCCCGGCUAACUCCGUGCCAGCAGCCGCGGUAAUGUACAGUGU